RNAcentral lists this ribosomal RNA (253 nucleotides) under uncultured bacterium. RNAcentral describes it as "partial 16S ribosomal RNA". It matches the Rfam family "Bacterial small subunit ribosomal RNA", at positions 524 to 776 of the family's 1533-position model. The record is from RNAcentral.
UACGGGGGGGGCAAGCGUUGUUCGGAAUUACUGGGCGUAAAGGGCUCGUAGGCGGCCAACUAAGUCAGACGUGAAAUCCCUCGGCUUAACCGGGGAACUGCGUCUGAUACUGGAUGGCUUGAGGUUGGGAGAGGGACACGGAAUUCCGGGUGGAGUGGUGAAAUGCGUAGAGAUCGGGAGGAACACCUGUGGCGAAGGCGGCCGACUGGGCCGACCCUGACGCUGAGGCGCGAAGGCGUGGGGAGCGAACGGG